RNAcentral lists this ribosomal RNA (464 nucleotides) under uncultured bacterium. RNAcentral's name for it is "partial 16S ribosomal RNA". It matches the Rfam family "Bacterial small subunit ribosomal RNA", at positions 339 to 795 of the family's 1533-position model. The record is from RNAcentral.
CUACGGGUGGCAGCAGUGGGGAAUAUUGCACAAUGGGCGCAAGCCUGAUGCAGCCAUGCCGCGUGUAUGAAGAAGGCCUUCGGGUUGUAAAGUACUUUCAGCGGGGAGGAAGGGAGUAAAGUUAAUACCUUUGCUCAUUGACGUUACCCGCAGAAGAAGCACCGGCAAACUCCGUGCCAGCAGCCGCGGUAAUACGGAGGGUGCAAGCGUUAAUCGGAAUUACUGGGCGUAAAGCGCACGCAGGCGAUUUGUUAAGUCAGAUGUGAAAUCCCCGGGCUCAACCUGGGAACUGCAUCUGAUACUGGCAAGCUUGAGUCUCGUAGAGGGGGGUAGAAUUCCAGGUGUAGCGGUGAAAUGCGUAGAGAUCUGGAGGAAUACCGGUGGCGAAGGCGGCCCCCUGGACGAAGACUGACGCUCAGGUGCGAAAGCGUGGGGAGCAAACAGGAUUAGAUACCCGCGUAGUC